RNAcentral lists this ribosomal RNA (465 nucleotides) under uncultured bacterium. Its description in RNAcentral is "partial 16S ribosomal RNA". It matches the Rfam family "Bacterial small subunit ribosomal RNA", at positions 339 to 795 of the family's 1533-position model. The record is from RNAcentral.
CUACGGGUUGCUCCAGUAGGGAAUUUUCGGCAAUGGGCGAAAGCCUGACCGAGCAAUGCCGCGUGAACGAUGAAGGCCUUCGGGUUGUAAAGUUCUGUUAUCAGGGAAGAACAUACGGAUUAGGAAAUGACUCCGUACUGACGGUACCUGAUCAGAAAGCUCCGGCUAACUACGUGCCAGGCAGCCGCGGUAAUACGUAGGGAGCAAGCGUUAUCCGGAAUUAUUGGGCGUAAAGCGUGCGUAGGCGGUUCGUUAAGUCAAAUCUGAAAGCCCACAGCUUAACUGUGGAGGGCGAUUUGAAACUGGCGAACUUGAGUACGGCAGAGGUUAGUGGAAUUCAAUGUGUAGCGGUGGAAUGCGUAGAUAUAUUGAGGAACACCAGUGGCGAAGGCGGCUAACUGGACCGGAACUGACGCUGAGGCACGAAAGCGUGGGGAGCAAACAGGAUUAGAUACCCCAGUAGUC